RNAcentral lists this ribosomal RNA (1480 nucleotides) under uncultured Bordetella sp. Its description in RNAcentral is "partial 16S-23S ribosomal RNA intergenic spacer". It matches the Rfam family "Bacterial small subunit ribosomal RNA". Lineage: Bacteria; Pseudomonadati; Pseudomonadota; Betaproteobacteria; Burkholderiales; Alcaligenaceae. The record is from RNAcentral.
GGUUCGACUGCUCAGAUUGAACGCUGGCGGAUGCUUUUACACAUGCAAGUCGAACGGCAGCACGGACUUCGGUCUGGUGGCGAGUGGCGAACGGGUGAGUAAUGUAUCGGAACGCCUUAGUAGUGGAUAACUACGCGAAAGGUAGCCAAUACCGCAUACACGCCCUUCGGGGGAGGACCCUUCGGGCCUCGUAAUUAUUAGAGUGGCCGAUAUCGGGAUUUAGUUAGCUGGUGGGUAACGGCUCACCAAGGUGACGAUCCGUAGCUGGUUUGAGAGGACGACCAGCCACACUGGGACUGAGACACGGCCCAGACUUACGGGAGGCAGCAGUGGGGAAUUUUGGACAAUGGGGAAACCCCCGAUCCAGCCAUCCCGCGUGUGCGAUGGAAGGCCUUCGGGUUGUACACUUUUGGCAGGAUAAAGAAACGGCACGGGAUAAUACCCCGCAAAUCUGACGGUACCUGCAGAAUAAGCAGACCAUAACCACGCCAGCAGCCGCGGCAGCCUACGUAGGGUGCAAGCGUUAAUCGGAAUUACUGGGCGUAAAGCGUGCGCAGGCGGUUCGGAAAGAAAGAUGUGAAACUCGGGAGUUUAACUUUGGAACUGCAUUUUUAACUACCGAGCUAGAGGUCAGAGGGAGGUGGAAUUCCGCGUGUAGCAGUGAAAUGCGUAGAUAUGUGAUAGAACACCGGAUGGCGAAGGCAGCCUCCUGGGAUAACACUGACGCCUGGUGACGAAAGCGUGGGGCAAACAGGAUUAGAUACCUCUGGUAGUCCACGCCCUAAACGAUGUCAACUAGCUGUUGGGGCCUUCGGGCCUUGGUAGCGCAGCUAACGCGAAGUUGACCGCCUGGGGAGUACGGUCGCAAGAUUAAAACUCAAAGGAAUUGACGGGGACUCCGCACAAGCGGUGGAUGAUGUGGAUUAAUCUGAUGCAACGCGAAACCUUACCUACCCGAUGUCUGGAAUCCCGGAAGAGAUUUGGGAGCGCUCGCAAGAGAACCGGAACACAGGUGCCGCAUGGCUGUCGUCACUGGUGUCGAGAUGCUGGGUUAUCCCGCAACGAGCGCAACCCUUGUCACGGCGCGCCAGUUGGGCACUCUAUCGAGAUCGCUGGUGACAAACCGGAGGAAGGUGGGGAUGACGUCAAGUCCUCAUGGCCCCCAUGGGUAGGGCUUCACACGUCACACAAUGGUCGGGACAGAGGGUCGCCAACCCGCGAGGGGGAGCCAAUCCCAGAAACCCGAUCGUAGUCCGGAUCGCAGUCUGCAACUCGACUGCGUGGAAGUCGGAAUCGCCAGUAAUCGCGGAUCAGUACGCCGCGGUGAAUACGUCUCCCGGGUCUUGUACACACCGCCCGUCACACCGGAGUGGGUUUUACCAGAAGUAGUUAAGCCUAACCGUAAGGAGGGCGAUUACCACUGUAGUAGAUUCCAUGACUGGUGAAGUUUUAACACAGCCGAAAGCUACCUUGAUGCUCC